Molecule: ribosomal RNA, 413 nt
Filed under: uncultured bacterium
Lineage: Bacteria
Description: bacterial SSU rRNA
Rfam family: Bacterial small subunit ribosomal RNA
Source: RNAcentral
UAAGGAAUAUUGGUCAAUGGACGCAAGUCUGAACCAGCCAUGCCGCGUGAAGGAUGAAGGUCCUCUGGAUUGUAAACUUCUUUUAUCUGGGACGAAAACGGGAUUUUUAUCUCAAUUGACGGUACCAGAGGAAUAAGCACCGGCUAACUCCGUGCCAGCAGCCGCGGUAAUACGUAGGGAGCAAGCGUUGUUCGGAUUUACUGGGCGUAAAGGGCGCGUAGGCGGCGCGGUAAGUCACUUGUGAAAUCUCUGAGCUUAACUCAGAGCGGCCAAGUGAUACUGUUGUGCUAGAGUGCGGAAGAGGCAACCGGAAUUCUUAGUGUAGCGUUGAAAUGCGUAGAUAUCAAGAGGAACACCUGAGGCGAAGGCGGGUUGCUGGGCCGACACUGACGCUGAUGCGCGAAAGCCAGGGG